GAAAUGCGAUACUUGGUGUGAAUUGCAGAAUCCCGUGAACCAUCGAGUCUUUGUCGUGCUAAGCCCGUGCGUAUGCUGGGUGCCGCUUAGAUCGUGUUUCUCGUUGUUGCUACCCAACUAUGAAAUUACUCACAACCUCACAUCAGGUAAGAUAACCCGCUGAACUUAA
RNAcentral lists this unclassified non-coding RNA (169 nucleotides) under uncultured fungus. RNAcentral describes it as "sequence contains ITS1". The record is from RNAcentral. Lineage: Eukaryota; Fungi.